Phyllopteryx taeniolatus (common seadragon) is the source of this 181-nucleotide long non-coding RNA. RefSeq lists it as uncharacterized. The record is from RefSeq and is a predicted model, not a curated record. The transcript has 3 exons. NCBI's taxonomy places the organism in Eukaryota, Metazoa, Chordata, Actinopteri, Syngnathiformes, Syngnathidae.
CUGAUGUGGGCCUGCUGAGAUUUGGGGAUGCACUCGAGGAACGUCGAAUUGCUCUGCACACCGAAGAGAACUCCCUCCUCCACCUUUCCAACGCCGAGGCCUGAAGAAAAAGCCAUCCAAAGACGGAACUGAACUGAACUGAACUGAGAUGAGUGUGCUGAGGAACUCACCGUUCCAGGAC